GAUGAACGCUGGCGGCGUGCCUAAUACAUGCAAGUAGAACGCUGAAGGAAGGAGCUUGCUCUUUCCGGAUGAGUUGCGAACGGGUGAGUAACGCGUAGGUAACCUGCCUGGUAGCGGGGGAUAACUAUUGGAAACGAUAGCUAAUACCGCAUAACAGUAGAUGUUGCAUGAUAUCUACUUAAAAGGUGCAAUUGCACCACUACCAGAUGGACCUGCGUUGUAUUAGCUAGUUGGUGAGGUAACGGCUCACCAAGGCGACGAUACAUAGCCGACCUGAGAAGGUGAUCGGCCACACUGGGACUGAGACACGGCCCAGACUCCUACGGGAGGCAGCAGUAGGGAAUCUUCGGCAAUGGACGGAAGUCUGGCCGAGCAACGCCGCGUGAGUGAAGAAGGUUUUCGGAUCGUAAAGCUCUGUUGUAAGAGAAGAACGAGUGUGAGAGUGGAAAGUUCACACUGUGACGGUAUCUUACCAGAAAGGGACGGCUAACUACGUG
RNAcentral lists this ribosomal RNA (497 nucleotides) under uncultured bacterium. Its description in RNAcentral is "partial 16S ribosomal RNA". It matches the Rfam family "Bacterial small subunit ribosomal RNA", at positions 28 to 507 of the family's 1533-position model. The record is from RNAcentral.